CAUAGCGUUAAAACAUCCAAAUGUAUAUUCUGCUCAGUGACCAUCAACAGCCGCGGUAUCCUAACCGUGCUAAGGUAGCAUAAUCAUUUGUCUACUAAUUGUAGAAUGGAAUGAAUGAACAAACUAAUAUUAUAUUAUAUGCAAAUAUUUUUAACCUAAACUUCAAGUCAAAAUUCUUCAUUGCUAAGAAAGACAAAAAGACCCUGAAAACUUUAACAACAAUUAAUUGUUGGGGCAACUAAUGACCACAAUAGCGUCACUGUAUUCACAUAAAUCUGAUUACUCUUUCAGUUACUUCAGGGAUAACAGGCUAAUUGUUAUUAAUAUAAAUUUAAUUACUGUUUGGCACCUCGAUGUUGGCUUAUAUAACUUAUAGUUAAGACCACUAAUACGUUAGUUUGUUCACCUAUUAAAAAUUUAC
This 421-nucleotide ribosomal RNA is filed under the name Stygocapitella sp. 442_11. Its description in RNAcentral is "partial large subunit ribosomal RNA". It matches the Rfam family "Bacterial large subunit ribosomal RNA", at positions 1827 to 2599 of the family's 2925-position model. Lineage: Eukaryota; Metazoa; Annelida; Polychaeta; Parergodrilidae. The record is from RNAcentral.